Molecule: ribosomal RNA, 502 nt
Filed under: uncultured Glomeromycotina
Lineage: Eukaryota; Fungi; Glomeromycota
Description: partial small subunit ribosomal RNA
Rfam family: Eukaryotic small subunit ribosomal RNA
Source: RNAcentral
CCAAUAGCGUAUAUUAAAGUUGUUGCAGUUAAAAAGCUCGUAGUUGAAUUUCGAAAUUUUUUUAUCGGUUGAAUCAACAGGUUCAUACUGAUUUUAAGAAUUUCUACCUUCUGGAGAACCUUAAUGUCAUUUAUUUGAUGUUUUGGGAAACCAGGACUGUUACCUUGAAAAAAUUAGAGUGUUUAAAGCAGGCUUAUGUCUGAAUAUAUUAGCAUGGAAUAAUGAAAUAGGACGGCAUGGUUCUAUUUUGUUGGUUUCUAGGAUCACCGUAAUGAUUAAUAGGGAUAGUUGGGGGCAUUAGUAUUCAAUUGUCAGAGGUGAAAUUCUUGGAUUUAUUGAAGACUAACUUCUGCGAAAGCAUUUGCCAAGGAUGUUUUCAUUAAUCAAGAACGAAAGUUAGGGGAUCGAAGACGAUCAGAUACCGUCGUAGUCUUAACCAUAAACUAUGCCGACUAGGAAUCGGACGAAGUUAAUUUUUUAAUGACUCGUUCGGCGCCUUACG